GCUCACCCGUUAUGUCUCGAACGCUUGAGACAAUAUUUAUAUUUGCUAAGUUAGUAACAAAUUGUUUCUUUAGGCGUUAACAGACAAAUAAAAAGCCCAAUUGUAGUCAAGGGAAAAUAAACGUUUUGUCGUGUUUGUUGUCAGGUGCAAUUUUCGCGCCGCUUCACGGGAUAACAACACACUAGCCUUUCCCAGGGAAGUGACGUAACUAGUUUUAAAGUUCAGAGCUAGUACUUAAUUAAUAAUUUAAUAAGGGACAGCGUGAAAUUGCAUCUACGUGCUUAGAGCUUCAGUUCUGGGUGAGAUCUAAAAAUAAUUAAAAUGACAGAAGAAGAUAACAGUCUACAGAGAGAAAGGGUCCUAACUCUACCAUCUCCAGUAAAACGACGAAGAACACAUAGGAUAGUAACAAAUGAGUACAGUGAAGAAAAUAUCUUUGACUUUCCAGAGUUUUUGACAUUUGAGAAUACUACUAAAUUCCCCUCCUCAAAAAGUAUCCUGCAGAAGAAUCUAAUUGUAAUUUGCACAGCAGACAAUGAUGAUAUGCAAGAGGAAUCGUUUAUACAACUGCAAGACAUCAAAUUAAUCGUGACACCUAGAGUGGCCACUUCUGUCACUGAUGAUGCGAGUAGGCUCUUGCCUAAAGUAUGUGUUAUCACUGCUGAGAGACACCUUGCAAAUCCAGGAAAAGAUCUGCUUACUAGAAGGGACAAGCCCUUUUCAUACCUGCCAAAUGAGGCAGGUAAUGCAUUAGUAGAAUCUUACAUUUCAACUGACAUCUCAAGUUCUUCUGAUGCAGUCUGCCAUUGGCUGGGGAAAUCACAGGCCCUUGAUUUCACUCAAAACGGCAAAGAUUGGAGAGAGGCUCAAUGCAGUGUCACUAAAAUGCAAGCAUUCACUCUCACCUGUGAUGAGGAGAUUAUAUGUCAGUCUGACUGCUCCCGUGGAAAUGUGGUAUGUGACACAGUUAACACUUUGAGACAGUCUGAUGGAGCUGAGGUGAGCACUCAGAAGUGGGACCAGCACAUAUUCAGUGAGAGUAGUCUUAUCGGUACAGAAGGACAGGUGGGCAACGGCUCACGAUCUUGUAGUCAUUAUGCAGACUUUGAAAUAAACCACUUGUACCCUAAAAAGGACCACACAAAUGAGGAACAGCUAAUACAGUCACAGAUUUGCAAAAGUGACAGGUUCACCAUUUGUGAUGAGGAAACAAAAAGUCAAGUUAACAAGAAGAAGAGCAUGGGCAAAAACCCCUUUAUCUCUCCUGCUGAUAUCUCUGUGUUCCCCCAUGAUGUGGUAUUAGGCAGAAAUACAACCACUGAGAAUGUGAGCUUCGAAAUUGAUGACCUCUGUGGGGUGAAAGAAGAGUAUGAUGCUGACAAGAUGAAAGCAUGGAAUGAAAUAGACGAUCACACAACAGAGGCUCCAGAAUCUGAAAAAAUCAGUCAAGAGCUUGCUGAAGAAGAUAACACUGUAGGCCUUUACAGUGUAAUUGACCCUGCAAUCUGGAAUGAACCUGACAGGGAAGCUGAAGAGCGACAGUGUAACUCAGCGAGUACUCCAGGUGUAGAAUUAUCUCCAUCAGUUGAAGUCUGUGUGAUGAAAAUGCCUCCUCCGCUCUGUUUUGAUGUCAGGACAUCACAGGAGGUUUCAGCUCCCAACCAGAUCAGGCAGUUUUAUCACCAAAGCGUAACACUGCAGAGCAAAGAUGAAAAAGAGGACUUGUGUCAGUCACAUAAAGAACCUUCCAUCACCUCCAGUGAACCCUACAACAUGACAGGCAAUCAAAGCAGCAGUCCAUGCCAUCCUACAGCUCCUCCUCCUGCUGGGGAGGGAAGACAAGAAAGUCACAGUGUUGUGGAACUUCAGCUGAAAGAGGAGGAUCAGUUUGACUCUUUUCCUAAUAACCUUGACAGCAUAAGGACACAGGAAGCAGAACAAUCACAGGGUGAAGUUUCCAGAACAGCCUGGAUAACUAUGAUUAAAGAAGGAAAAAAUUUGUCAAGUUUUGAAGAAAUAAAAACUGAUCCACAUAUGGAUUUAGAGAAAGUGGAGUCAGAGGAAGAACUUCUGCAUCGACAUGAGUUACAGAACGAGGAUGGAGCUUGCAAUGAGUUAAAAUGUGUUAAAGACAGACUGGAGGAGAAAUUUCAGGUUUUUGUUGACCACCCAUACAGUGCUCAUGUGUUCCAGAGAGUAGAAACAACCGUAGAAAAGAAAAGGAAGAAAGUAAAUGAUGUGGCAGAAGGACUAAAAUCAGCAGAUUGUGAAAACGCAGAAGGUGUGCAGCAGCAAAAUGAGCACAAAACAGAUAGGAUGGAAGUAAAAUGUGUGGAUAAACAGACAGAGAGCAACAGGAGUGAUAACAAGUUAAAAGUGGUUAAUCAACACAGAAAAGAAAACAAGCUUAGUUUUUGUCCUGACUACCGACACAGACUUGAGACAUAUAUGCUUAAAAAUACACAAGACCUUGUGGAUUUUGCCUCCCCUUCAACAAGUGAUGCUGUUGUGCCAUGUCAGAAGGAGCCAAGUCCUUCACUAAAUGCUAACAGCCCCACAGCCCUAAACCGUCGUGGCAGGUUUUCCCCAGUGGCAUCAGCCUGUAUACGCUAUAACUGGGUGCCAGGGGAAGUUGAUAUUUUUGAGAAGAUACAGCUCUCACCAGAUGAUUAUGUUGAUAACGAUGCUGGCCGAGGUAUCAUGUCUGUCCUCACCGGUUUUCCUGGGCAACUGUUGAAGUCCCCUCAGCAACAACCUUCCUAUUCCACGCAAGAGCCUGAGGGUAAUCAUCAGUCGCCAGAAGAGCAGGAGAGGGAAGAAGAAGAGCUCCAGCAGGAUUGCCACACUGAAUACAUGGCAAAUGGACUUUUAAACAGUGAUGCAGGUUUUAAUGACACAAACUUCAUCUCAGCUGCACUUGGACAACCAGAGCAGCAGCCCAACUGUGAGUCCACCGGUGAUUCUUUGGAGCCUAUUAUGGUUGACUCAGCUACACAGUUGAAGUCUUCCACUGGUUCCACAGAGAGUGACAGUCCAGCCUCUGAUAUGAAACAGUACCCCGAGUUUGAGAUGAAAAAACAAUUCAACGUGGUCUUAAAAGAGCUGAACCUGUUUUUUGAUAUCAGCAAAAGUGAUCUUGCAAGUGACAGAACAUCAGUGCAGUGUUAUGUUGGUGAACCACUGAAGACAGAUUCUUCAGACUUCAAAGAUGUUCUCAGCAGCAUAGAUAUGGGAUGCCACAAAAACCCAUCAACAGAUAAUGCUGAUGAAGACCACAGCAUGGAAAUGUGUGGGGGUGAUCCAGUGAUUUCCUGUAAGGCUGGUGACGACGAGCAGGAGGUGCCGCUUGGCAGCCACAUGAAACAUGAGACAUGCCAGGACACCGCUGAAAAGCAAGGAGAGCUCUGGCAGGUAGAGCAGAGAAGAAAAAUGUGGUCUUCACCCUUCAUGUCUCAACAACUGAGAUACAGUCCACUAGAGCAGGCCAAGAGACUGGAACCGCUGAGAACAUGCUCACGGCCCAUCCGGGUUGGCCUUUCAAAGAGAGCCAAGACCAAACACCUGCACCGUCCCCACCCCUACAACUGAACAAGGCUGGGUCCCGCCUCCCAAAGGCCUCCGGCCCCACUUAUGUAACUGACAGCAUGGGCAGCAGGUUACGCAGGGAGCAGAACGUCGAUGGUCAGCUUUCCAAGCGGACGUCACCCAUCCUGCGUCAGGCCGUGAAGUAUCGUGGAAGAUCAAUCUGCAGCCCACUUUUCCAUUAGUGCAGCUUUAACCGAAGCAGCUAUUAAUGAUUCUCUGGACUCUGGACCGGAAGAGGUUAUGUGUGAUUUAUGUACAUUUUACGACUUGAAUUAAUCAGCUUGACACACACAUGGAACCGUCUGUGUUGAGGAGGCCAGGCAUCACACUGACUGAUCCUGACAGGAAGUGUGCCACAGAACCGCAGAGCCACAGCGCCAGAUGCAAUCACCCACGGGUCUGACGUGACAAGGAAAUGUAAAUGAGGGUCCUCAUGGGAGUUGAUCCACCAGGAGACGUGGCAUCGCUGUAAUUACAGACGCACGGACAGAAAGGCAAGUAGCUGGUGAGAUGGGAAAGGCCACAAGCUUCUUCAUCCAGCCAGACAAUUUAGCCGUCAUUCAGUUUGCUAAUAGUCCACUUUGUUCAUUGAGUUGGGUUUGAAGCUCGCUGUUAUUAUAGAGCCUGCAAAGAAUAAUAGAUUAAGCUAACGACUCUGUAAGAUUCAUUUGCAUUAAUAGUCAUUUUAUCAAAUAGUCGAUAUUUCGGCGCUACUCUGACUUUGAAACAGUCGCUGGUACUUGUUGGCUAAAAUCACCUACAAGCAACUACUGUAGAUGCAAGAUGCAACACACUGUCAUGGAAACACUUAACAGCAUCACUGCCUAUCGCCUUGACAUUCUUAGCAUAAGUGUCAUUGCUGGAAUUCCAAUCAUUUCUGUUCUAUUGUACGUGUUUGUCAUGAAGCAAUGAUCAAGACUGAUGUUACUUUUUGUUUAGUUUGCAUAAGCUGUUGUUCAUGCUUCUAAAUAGCAUUUAGUAUUUGGAAUAGCAAGAGGUUAGAAGCAGAAGCACAGAUUGUUUCAAUAAUAAAUACAUAUUUACUACAGUUGUUCUUUCCAAAUCACUAUGAGCUGCUCUUUCACAUACAGAGGUCACAAGCAGAUGUGUCG
This is an RNA transcript of Betta splendens (Siamese fighting fish), 4697 nucleotides long. RefSeq lists it as uncharacterized. Lineage: Eukaryota; Metazoa; Chordata; Actinopteri; Anabantiformes; Osphronemidae. The record is from RefSeq and is a predicted model, not a curated record. The transcript is spliced from 8 exons.